CCUACGGGGGGCAGCAGUGGGGAAUAUUGGGCAAUGGGCGCAAGCCUGACCCAGCAACGCCGCGUGAAGGAAGAAGGCUUUCGGGUUGUAAACUUCUUUUAAGGGGGAAGAGCAGAAGACGGUACCCCUUGAAUAAGCCACGGCUAAAUACGUGCCAGCAGCCGCGGUAAUACGUAGGUGGCAAGCGUUGUCCGGAUUUACUGGGUGUAAAGGGCGUGCAGCCGGAGAGACAAGUCAGAUGUGAAAUCCACGGGCUCAACCCGUGAACUGCAUUUGAAACUGUUUCCCUUGAGUGUAGGAGAGGUAAUCGGAAUUCCUUGUGUAGCGGUGAAAUGCGUAGAGAUAAGGAAGAACACCAGUGGCGAAGGCGGAUUACUGGACGAUAACUGACGGUGAGGCGCGAAAGCGUGGGGAGCAAACAGGAUUAGAUACCCGAGUAGUC
Molecule: ribosomal RNA, 442 nt
Filed under: uncultured bacterium
Lineage: Bacteria
Description: partial 16S ribosomal RNA
Rfam family: Bacterial small subunit ribosomal RNA
Source: RNAcentral